AAAACAUGUCUUUUUAGAAAUAAAUAAAAAGUCUAACCUGCCCACUGAAAAUAAUUGAAGGGCCGCGGUAUUUUGACCGUGCAAAGGUAGCAUAAUCAUUAGUCUUUUAAUUGGAGGCUCGUAUGAAUGGUUGAAUGAAGUAUAAGCUGUAUCAUAAAAAUUUAAAAUUGAAUUUUAUUUUUUAGUUAAAACGCUAAAAUAAAAUUAAAAGACGAGAAGACCCUAUAAAGCUUUACAAUUAUAAUUUAUUAUUUAUGAAGAAUUAUUUAAAUUUUAUUUUGAUAAUUGUUUUGUUGGGGUGACAAUAAGAUUUAAAAAACUCUUAAACUUUUUAUACAUUAAUUUAUGAUUUAUUGAUCCGAUUUUAUCGAUUAAAAAUUUAAGUUACUUUAGGGAU
This 397-nucleotide ribosomal RNA is filed under the name Diamesa loeffleri. Its description in RNAcentral is "partial large subunit ribosomal RNA". The stretch from base 1 to 150 matches the Rfam family "Archaeal large subunit ribosomal RNA", at positions 1902 to 2096 of the family's 2987-position model. The record is from RNAcentral. Lineage: Eukaryota; Metazoa; Arthropoda; Insecta; Diptera; Chironomidae.